AAAAAGGUAAGCUAAAUAUAAGCUAAUGGGUUCAUACCCCGUAAAUAGGAUUACCUCCUUUUUA
RNAcentral lists this transfer RNA (64 nucleotides) under Conanalus pieli. RNAcentral's name for it is "tRNA-Met". Lineage: Eukaryota; Metazoa; Arthropoda; Insecta; Orthoptera; Tettigoniidae. The record is from RNAcentral.